GACGAACGCUGGCGGCGUGCUUAACACAUGCAAGUCGAACGGAAAGGCCCUGCUUUUGUGGGGUGCUCGAGUGGCGAACGGGUGAGUAACACGUGAGUAACCUGCCCUUGACUUUGGGAUAACUUCAGGAAACUGGGUCUAAUACCGGAUAGGAGCUCCUGCUGCAUGGUGGGGGUUGGAAAGUUUCGGCGGUUGGGGAUGGACUCGCGGCUUAUCAGCUUGUUGGUGGGGUAGUGGCUUACCAAGGCUUUGACGGGUAGCCGGCCUGAGAGGGUCACCGGCCACAUUGGGACUGAGAUACGGCCCAGACUCCAACGGGAGGCAGCGGUGGGGAAUAGUGCACAGUGGGCGGAAGCCUGAUGCAGCAACGCCGCGUGCGGGAUGACGGCCUUCGGGUUGUAAACCGCUUUCGCCUGUGACGAAGCGUGAGUGACGGUAAUGGGUAAAGAAGCACCGGCUAACUACGUG
Molecule: ribosomal RNA, 468 nt
Filed under: uncultured bacterium
Lineage: Bacteria
Description: partial 16S ribosomal RNA
Rfam family: Bacterial small subunit ribosomal RNA
Source: RNAcentral